This 1966-nucleotide long non-coding RNA is filed under the name Sus scrofa (pig). RNAcentral's name for it is "lncRNA (ENSSSCG00055011637.1)". Lineage: Eukaryota; Metazoa; Chordata; Mammalia; Artiodactyla; Suidae. The record is from RNAcentral.
AUGCUUCAGGUGCUCCAUUCUUGGAAGAUGAAGUGCUUCUUCAAAAAUCCUUUCCAAACAAGCUCUCAAGUCAAUUACUCUCUUUUGAAACUCAAAGAGAGAAGACUACAAUAUUUGAGUAACUUGAAUAAAUGUUAUGUGACCCUGCCUUGGCUCUAAAAUAAGAGUACCCCCAAAAGUAAAAGUAUUUCAAUUAUUGGUUCUAAGUGGUUAAUUCUUUUAAACAAUUAACUUAUAUUGUUUUUCACUAAAAAUUUUUUAAAUUCUCUUUUUCCUGUCUAGACUCUGGAGACUACCAGAAUUUUGUUCAUUAGCAAGGAAUUCUUCUGGGUCUUUCAGAGGAUGCUAAGACUCAUGGACAUGUUUCUGCCCUUUUGGGAAAAGUCCAGGUCCUUCUUCUAUCCAUAUGUUGUCAUGUCCUAUACACGAAAAUAAUAACUCUGAGCUGAUUACUUUUACUACAAAUUUUAUCUCCAAAAGCCCCAAACUCCACUUUAUCUGUUUACUAUGUUCUCCACUAAAUAUUCUUCCCCACCCUAGCUCUUUCUUCUGAAAUCCAACUCAUGAAGGCUUCAUAACCUCACUCACACAUUCUACCUCCCCCCUCUGACCCUCAUGACACUAUAGACCCUUUUCUGGCAUUCACGGUCUUAGAUUGGGAUUUUCUUUUUUUUUUUUUUUUUGAAUGAUUUUGUCCAACAUUCACUCUGAGAGGGCAGGGAUGUCUUCCUUUGGUCUCUCAUAAUCAAGUGAGCAAUAAAUUUCUUAAUUAAUUGUGUUCUUUUAAAAUUAAGCCCAAGAUCUCUACUAUGAUUUUUUUUAAACUGUCAUUUUAAAGAACCAGCUAUUUAUUUUCAAAAGCACAAAGAAACAUGCCACUCAACUAAAAGCCCAUAUUACAGUUACUGAGUCUGUAAGGAUGUAAGAGAGGAUUUUUAUUCAACCAUAAAUAAUCAUUUGUCAUCUACACUGCACAAAUAAUUAUUCCAGGGUAAUUGGAGGUUGCAGUGAAGAACCAAAUGAACAUCCAAAUUUGUGAAGUGUUAUAAAAUAAUUGAAUAGCCAAUCAAUUAAAAGGUAAUUGUAAGCAAUUCAUAGAGAUUUGAAUCAUGGGUUUGGGGCAAGAAAAAUGAUCUUGUUCAUUCAGGCUCUCAUGAGAAGUAGAUCAGUAAAAUGGAAAAUCUGGAGUUCAAAAGCCAGCAAUAAAUGAAACUACCCAAAAAUCUACAUAAAAGCCUUCUAAUAGAGCCUCCAUUUGUGGCAUCAAGGGAGAAAAAUAUGGAGCAAUAAAUAUUAGCCACUUCAUAAAGAUUGGCAUCUCAUUUUACUAGAUAACUACCCAGUAAAUGUCACUGAGGCUGAGAAAACAUUGCGUAGUAAAAUGCUGCCAUUAGAUUAUGACAACAAAUUGUUCUCUUACAAGUUGGUUUGGCUACUCCUGUAUGUAACCUGAAUUCUAGCCCAGUGCUGUCUGCAUGAUCCCAGGCACACCAUUUAACCUUUAAGAAUCUCUGGGUCUAUAAAUUCGCUUACUCACCAGGGUUAUGAAAGCUAAAUUAUAUCUAAUACAUGAAAGUGUUAGUGAAGAAUUAGGUAUCCUACCAAAGGCAUUAUUAUGUUUCUCUCUGCUUAAAUAUUAAGUCAAUAUGUUUAUUACAUUAAACUUGUAUUUUAUUUUAAGACAUAUAUAGAUAUUUUCUGCUUGAAAUUUGAGUGAAAAUUCAUAUCAAGGAACAGGAAUUAAUAAUGAAAUGUCUAGCCAUACUAUAGCCAUAUUUUAGCAAUGUUCCUCCCCCAAAUGCGUUUGAGCUCUAUUUUAUACCAUUCAUUUGUCAUCAUGUAGCAAGUGGUACUGAUUUUUCACUUAUUGAAAGAACUUAUACAGGAUUCUUUAAGUAUUGCAUCCCCCAGAGCCUAUUCUCAUUCUCAUCUAGCCUGGAGAGAAAAUGAUCUGAAACGGAUUUUU